Molecule: ribosomal RNA, 1346 nt
Filed under: uncultured bacterium
Lineage: Bacteria
Description: bacterial SSU rRNA
Rfam family: Bacterial small subunit ribosomal RNA
Source: RNAcentral
GACGAACGCUGGCGGCGUGCUUAACACAUGCAAGUCGAACGGAAAGGCCCUGCUUUUGUGGGGUGCUCGAGUGGCGAACGGGUGAGUAACACGUGAGUAACCUGCCCUUGACUUUGGGAUAACUUCAGGAAACUGGGGCUAAUACCGGAUAGGAGCUCCUGCUGCAUGGUGGGGGUUGGAAAGUUUCGGCGGUUGGGGAUGGACUCGCGGCUUAUCAGCUUGUUGGUGGGGUAGUGGCUUACCAAGGCUUUGACGGGUAGCCGGCCUGAGAGGGUGACCGGCCACAUUGGGACUGAGAUACGGCCCAGACUCCUACGGGAGGCAGCAGUGGGGAAUAUUGCACAAUGGGCGGAAGCCUGAUGCAGCAACGCCGCGUGCGGGAUGACGGCCUUCGGGUUGUAAACCGCUUUCGCCUGUGACGAAGCGUGAGUGACGGUAAUGGGUAAAGAAGCACCGGCUAACUACGUGCCAGCAGCCGCGGUGAUACGUAGGGUGCGAGCGUUGUCCGGAUUUAUUGGGCGUAAAGGGCUCGUAGGUGGUUGAUCGCGUCGGAAGUGUAAUCUUGGGGCUUAACCCUGAGCGUGCUUUCGAUACGGGUUGACUUGAGGAAGGUAGGGGAGAAUGGAAUUCCUGGUGGAGCGGUGGAAUGCGCAGAUAUCAGGAGGAACACCAGUGGCGAAGGCGGUUCUCUGGGCCUUUCCUGACGCUGAGGAGCGAAAGCGUGGGGAGCGAACAGGCUUAGAUACCCUGGUAGUCCACGCUGUAAACGGUGGGUACUAGGUGUGGGGUCCAUUCCACGGGUUCCGUGCCGUAGUUAACGCUUUAAGUACCCCGCCUGGGGAGUACGGCCGCAAGGCUAAAACUCAAAGGAAUUGACGGGGCCCCGCACAAGCGGCGGAGCAUGCGGAUUAAUUCGAUGCAACGCGUAGAACCUUACCUGGGUUUGACAUGGAUCGGGAGCGCUCAGAGAUGGGUGUGCCUCUUUUGGGGUCGGUUCACAGGUGGUGCAUGGCUGUCGUCAGCUCGUGUCGUGAGAUGUUGGGUUAAGUCCCGCAACGAGCGCAACCCUUGUUCACUGUUGCCAGCACGUUAUGGUGGGGACUCAGUGGAGACCGCCGGGGUCAACUCGGAGGAAGGUGGGGAUGACGUCAAGUCAUCAUGCCCCUUAUGUCCAGGGCUUCACGCAUGCUACAAUGGCUGGUACAGAGAGUGGCGAGCCUGUGAGGGUGAGCGAAUCUCGGAAAGCCGGUCUCAGUUCGGAUUGGGGUCUGCAACUCGACCUCAUGAAGUCGGAGUCGCUAGUAAUCGCAGAUCAGCAACGCUGCGGUGAAUACGUUCCCGGGGCU